RNAcentral lists this long non-coding RNA (1537 nucleotides) under Homo sapiens (human). RNAcentral's name for it is "HSALNT0080522". Lineage: Eukaryota; Metazoa; Chordata; Mammalia; Primates; Hominidae. The record is from RNAcentral.
ACACACUUUGCCUUUACCACUUUCUACUGUGUGAGAACAGAACAGGAGUGCCCUCACUAGAUGCUGGACUUCCCAGCCUCUGCACCGUUCAUCUGCAUCUUGUUUAUGGGCCAUGAGAAAUAGCAGCCGAACCCUCAGUUUGGUCCAGGAACACUACCAGUGUACAACAACAGCCUAGGAGAGCUACAAGCAUGAGACUUCAACCUGUGAGUGCUGCUGUGUGGACUGAACCCAGCAAAGCCACAGGGUUGGGGCUGCCUGAGGUGUUGGGGGCACAAUCUCUGCUCCAUUGUGCCCAGAAGGCACAACAUGCAGUCAAGGAUUAUUCCCAAGCCUGAAAAUGUAAUGUUUUACCUGCUGGACUUUGGACUUAGUUGGGACCUGUUACCCUUUUUCUCUUGUCUAUUUCUGCCUUUUGGAAUAGGAACGUCUAUCCUAUGCCUGACCCACCAUGGUGCUUUGGAAGUGUGUAAUUUGUUUUGAUUUCACAGACUCAUAGCUGGUGGGGAACUUGUCUUAGGAUAAAUCCUACGUUGAGUCUCGCCUAUAUGAUAUGUAGAUGAGACCUUGGAAUUAGACUUUAAAGUUGAUGCUGGAAUGACUUGAGAACUUUGGGAAUGUUGGAAUGAAAUGGAAUUGUUUGUGUGCAAUGGACAAGAAUUUGGGGGGCUGGGGCUGAAUGCUGUGGUUUCAAUGUGUUCCCCAGAAUGCAUGUGUUCAAAACUGGGUCCCCAGUGCAACAGUGUUGGGAGGUGGGGCCUAAUAGGAGGUAGAACCUUCAUAAGUAGAUGAAUGCCAUUAUCAAAGUGGCUCUAAUUUAGGAGCAGUUUGUAUCUUCAGAGUACGGGAACUUAACAACCCUGCCCAGUGGGUUCUCAAAAUGCAGCAGAUCUGUCACAACUGUGUACACUUCAUUUUCACCCUUUUUAAAUGGGAUUAUUUAUCAAUUACCCACUCUCAGGUAUUCUGUUUUAGCAGCACAAAAUGGACUCAGACAGUAGUCCUCUCCUGUCUCAAAACAUCAACAUACUAGAUGAUUUCUUCUUCUAUUUUAUUUCCAUUUCUCAGUGGAAUAUGUUACUAGACCUAGGAUAUGGCUGUUUUGCUAGACACUGUGAAAGAAAAAUAAAUAUUGGGGCCCAAAAAUAAGCUAAAGGGAAAAGUCAAGCUGGGAACUGCUGAGAGCAAACCUGCCUCCCGUUCUAUUCCAAGUCACCUCUCUGCACACUGAGAUAAAUGUAUAUCUGAUUGCCUCUUUUGGAGAGGCUAAUCAGAAACUUAAACGAAUGCCACCACUUGUCUCUUAUCUUCCUAUGACCUGGAAGCCUCCUCCGGGCUUCCAGUCAUCUUGCCUUUGCUUCCAGUUGUCCUACCUUUCCAGACCAAACCAGUGUUCAUCUUACAUAUGUUGAUUGAUGUCUCAUGUCUCCCUAAAAUGUAUAAAACCAAACUAUUCUCUUACCACCUUGGACACAUGUCGUCAGGACCUCCUGAGGCUGUGUCAUGGGUGCAUGUCCCCAACCUUAGCAAAAUAAAC